UUGACCUUGGCAUGCCAAAAAAGUAACCAAAAGCCUUCUAAGAGAGCUACAGGCACUGAGCAGAGGAGGCUGGGGCACAGUGAAAGGAGGCGAGAUAGAACUUGAGAUACUGCUGGGAAGAGUGUUACUGCUGUAGCCCUGGAGGAACACUUGGAAGUGAAGUGCUGGAUAUGAAGAGGAGACAGCAUACUGCAGAUUGGAAGCAAACCUUCCUAAAGAAAGUACCUAGGCAAGACAAAGGUUAUCAUGAGAAGAGAGCAUCUAAGGAGGAAUUACAUAGCUGUCCUUUGCUCUAGCCUACCUUAAGAGGCCAAACAUCACAGAAUAAUUUGUGCUGGAAAGGACCUCGUGCUGAAAAGUGUCUUUCAGGGCCCAGGUCACAGGGAAAGGUUCCUCCUAUCAACUCCUUCCCAUAAUUCAGAAAGGUCAUUGGGUGCCUAUUGCUUAGAAAGGCUCCUGACAAGGCAGGCAUGACAACCAGAUAAUGACUAUUUUGAAGAACAUAAGAAGUUUCCCUUCACUUCAAUCCUUUGGAAUCACAGAAGAGAUACACAUAAAGGGAUCUUACUGCAGUCUUUCACAUCUUCAACUGAAACCUGUGUUAACACCUUCAACCCAACAGCGUGCAAAUGCAGAACCGCUUUGGGGAUCCAAAGCAGUAACUGCCCAGACCUGGCCCCACUAGCUCAACUCUCCCCUCGACCAUGCUGCACUGCUCCCUGUAUUGUAGACAUAUGGCCUAGGACAGGCAGCGGAAGAGGCUGGAUCUGACCUGCUACCCUUUCCCCAGAGGCCAAAGGCAGCGGUAUCUGACAACAGAGCAGAUCUCAAACAUCUGCACACUUACGGUGCCUGUGAAGCCUGAGCGCAGGAGGAUGGAGCUAAGCGGUGGAAUUCAGUACGUAAAACACCAACUUGAGAAGACAAGCAAUUGAGUUGGCUGGGAGCUUCUGUAGCUGGCAUUGCUUCAACAGCUUCUACAACAGGGAAGUUCUUGUUUUUACCUUUCAAGACUGAUCUCAAAAAUAUUGGAGGGAACUUAAGGAGGAUCCAAAGCAAUGGUUGAAGACCUGGAGGAUAUACAAAGACUCAAAGGAGCUCAACCUAUGCAUUAGGUAUGUAACAAAGUUAGGAGAGAGUCUGCAAGUUGUGCUCAUUGAAGAAGAAAGAAUUUGAUGAUAAAGGGCUUUCUGACCAAUAAACACAAGUACAAGACCUAGAUGUGAUCUGAGGCCUCCCCUAAAAGUCCAACAGAAAAGAAAGUUGUUCCCAACAGUUCCACUUUGGUCCAACUGAGAUGACUGUGGAGGGAACUGUUGCUUCUGCUGAAUCCAGUUCAGGCACUGCCUCCAGCAAGAUGGGCUCUGGCCGAAGCCCUGCUCUGGCCCUGGUGGCGAUGACGCUAUUGCAUCAAAUGCACUGUGCAUUAGAGAAGAAGCCAGACAAGACACUACAUAGGUGACAAGCCACCUGCAAAUUCCUGGGGGAUUCUUAAGAGGUCUGGAUUGAUUUUAGUAUCAUGAACUGGGCCUGGUAAAUAGGUUGGUUUUUUUUUAACCUGUAUUAGGAUUGAGCAAACAGGAGCUAAAGAAGUAAGGUCUAAAAAGGGAAACAAAUUUCAUUUUUGCCCUUGGAGAAAGAACUCUUUUUUUUCUUUCCACUUUUGGGUACUCUGAUAGUUGAAUAGAGUCAGAGGCACAGAAAUCCCAUGGUACAGCUUGCUCCUACAGGUGUUGGACAAAUUUUGGAGCAAUAAGGAAAUUAUUUCUGUUCUCAUCAUAAUUUAGAAGCACAGUUUCAGGUAAAAAUGGUUAGAGAAUUUAAUCUCUCUAGCCAAGCUUAGAAUAAAAUGCUAAAGAAUCUUCUAUGACAUGCCACUUCAAACUGAUAACAGAUCCUGCCAUCAAAACUGGUACGGAUCAAAACUCAGACAGCAGACUCUGAAUGACUUCAGGAACUGCUGGACUUUUACAAGUCUGAAAUGACUGAAAUUUUUCCUGUAAAGUGAAAAACCCCAGCCACUUGUAGAAUAUUUUCUCUCCUUUUCUUGAAAUUAUUAGAUUUGGUAAUGCAUAAGAUACAUUUAACAGAGUAUACACUAUAAAGGAUUUCUGGAAAAAUGAAGGAACUUAUAGGAAAAUGCUAUCACAAAAUCCUUAAAGCAACUCAAUAACAGCAGCUCUAGUGAUGCAUCGUUUUACUUUGCUUAUCCUAAUGUAUGUCAAAGCAGAGUAAAGUUUUGUGUCCUUUGUAUUACCUUAAGAAAUAAUUAAUUUGGAUGUUAAAAAUUAAGAAAAUACCCUUGGUUCUGGGGAGGCGGGAAUAAGGGAUGAUUCCCAGACAACACAGAUACAUUAAUUAUAAUUUUUAAUAUAUAUAAAAUCAAGGGCCUAAAGUAAUGGCCAGAGAGAAUCACGAACUAUGUAUUUAGUCCUUAUUAGAUGAAAAUGAGAAAUAAUGAAAAAAUGCAGAAAUCUAGAAAUGUUCAAUAAGUGGUUUUGUUCUUUUUUAGAGGAUGGGGAAUGCAACACUGCAUUCACAUUAUCUGUUGAUGAAAUACUACCCACUAUAGCAGUUCUCAAGGCAUUUGUAUUCAACAUAUAGAAAUGGAAGCUUUUUACUGCUCAUUUAUCCUACCUGUCUUGGACUCCUCUGAGGACAGAUUAAAUCACAUUCUGAAAGUCCCUAAACACAGAGGAGAUGAAUUCCAUUCUCUGGGUCAAAGAACAUAAAUUUCUGUUGUAAAGUGGCAUUCCUCACGGCGGCACAGUAAAAAACCCCACAAUUGAAAAGGCUGGUCAGCCCCAGCAUGCAGUCAGAGGAACAAAGUGACCUGAAUGCAAAAAGCGACAAGUAAUCUCAGAGUGAAUCAGGUAGGGAAAGUUUUUUCUUAAAAUUGGGAAAAUAUUAGUGCUAUUUGUCAAGAAUAUUGCCAAGAUACUAUCUGGAAAAUUUGUUCACUCAUGUUUGAGAAUUCAAACUUGUGCAUGAGUAAAGCAGGCACCUGGAUGAAAUGGAGAAAAUUGCUCUGGUAGAGCAGGCAUGAAGGAGCUUGUCUUGUUUAUCAUAGCCAAAAAAAUGUCUGGGAUGUGGUAUGAUUGCUUUCUGGAAAUACAUCAGAGGGCUAAGCACCAUGAGAGGAGAAAGAUACGUGAACUAACAGCAUCUACAGGAAAUGGAAGAUCGGCAGGUAGAUGGAUAGAUGUAUAAAUAGAUAGUCACUUUCAACAUGACUCCUUCCUGUAGCACUUGUAUCAGAAGCUCAAAGAGUUGGAAGCUGAAACUAGGAAAAAAUUAAUUCAAAACCAAACAAAAAGUUUUAGUUGUGAUGCUAAUUGUAGCAAUUGAUCAGUUUGCAGUGGACUCUGCCUCAGUGGAAACUUUGAAAUGAAAAUGGCACAUCUUCUCUACCUGAUACAUUUUUGUUCAUUCCUAAUACUGCCCUUGAAUCAGAACUGAUUCAUGUACAUCCUAUGGCUCUUAUUUUGCUGUGUGUCAACUAGGUAAUUCUCAGAGUGCCUAAAAUCUUGUUGCUAUUACUCUACAUAUAAAGCUCCUUUUAAAUUGCAACAAUAGUGUAAAUCAGCUUCAUUGGAAAUAAAAAUGGGGACCUACCCUUUAGUACUUCUGUGAAACAGAAAUCCUUUUUUUUUUCCCUGUCUUUAAUCUGCCUUCUUGAAUGGUUUUAUUUCAUACAUGCUGAUAGCUCAGCAGAAGGCUGUUGUUAGCUCACAAUAAUAGAUAGCCUCUAGGUAAACUUCUGGAAGUAACUUUGGAAACUAUUUUUCAGGCAAUGCUCCAAGAAAAAGAGGCACAUGUUGAGGAACUGACAUAACUUUUUAACACCACAACCAGCAUAUUUCUUCAUGCAAACCCAGCCAAAACAAGUUGCCAAAAUCAAUAUUGAUCUAGUCCUUCAUCCAAUCAACAAAUGCCAUUGUUUAUAAGAUAUAACUUUUCUUGGUUAAAGUUCAAAGCAAAAUGCCAAGGAUUUGCAAAACUAUUAAAAUGAGAGGAUUUAGGUUUCCAGAUACUCUGGCUUGAUUUCAGUCUCAGUAGGUAUUCUGAGCCAUCAGAAACUAUCCAAAGAACCUCUGCAGUUUUUAUAUAGAACCUAAGGGUGAAACGAAAGCAAAGAAAACGUGAGAGCAUGCACAUGUGCAUAUGUGUGUGAUAUGUAUACACAAAAAAGGUACUUUAAAAAUAUUAUACUAAAAAAUGGUACUUUGGAUUUUUCUGCAUCACUGAAAUUUAGUUUGAGACUAAGGAAAAAUAAUUAUGCAGUAUGAUUAAAAGAAAUUUGGAAGUUCUCCUGUUUCUUGAUAAAAUGUCUGGUCUUCCAAUCCAACAAAAUAAAAAUUGUGUUUGGUUCAGAAUUCCGUGAAUGUGGGUUUUAUAAUUAUAAAUCCAUUGAAACACUGCAUAGGCAUGGGAUUUAUUUAACCUUUUCCUUAAGAUGUUUCUUUAACAGAACCUGUCAAAUAUUCCUGAAUUUUCCAUGGUAAUAAUAUGUCCAGAACUACACAAACCCCGAACAGGAAAUGCAAAUGUUUAUCUCUCUUAAGAAAAGAUUUUCACGACUCCAGUAAAGGGUUAUAUUCCAGAAUCUGGGCUUCAUUUUGUGAGACACCCUAUAAGAUCUUUAGAUAAUUUAUAGACAGAUAGGCCAUAGGGCAAAAGGCCAAGUUUUCAACGAAACUUCAGGAACCUCAGCAAAUGAGACCUUCAUAUUUCAAAGUUUUCAGUAACAAUCUGUUUUCUAAUAGCAGUGUCAAGGUGCUAUUUAAAUAUUACUGCAUACUGCUAUCUAGCUUUGGCCAGCCAUUAGGUAAUGGUGAAGCCUCUUGCUUAGAUAUUGAAUAGCAAAAUUUGUUUAUUUUCAUAAUCUUUAAAUUCCUGGAGACAUAGUGUAAGCUGAUUUUUAACAGGCUUAUAUGAUACUCUGAGGCUGCUGCUUUGCUUUUUCCUUUAGGAUUUUUGGUUUCCUAGUUUGAGGGUGAAGUGGUUGGAGCUGAUUAUAAUUUCCAGAGUUAACUCCUAAAAAACACCACAUGUGCCUAUUUGCCAAGAAUUCUGGUUAUUCAUUGCAUUGGGUGGAGCUAGUGCUGCUAUGUCCCCACUUCUACCAUUUCAGUAGCCUGAGACAGUCUCUAAAGCACUCUAGCAGCUCCUUUUUGUGUCUCCACAUACUUUAUCUUGUGGCACAACAGACAGCAGUGGCUUAAAUCCCCUUUCGUGCCAUUUUCUUACUGUCUUCUUAAAACUUAAAACUCCUGGUUUUGUAAAUAGGCAUGGCUCAGAUCAUGACAAAACUGAUGCAAAUUGCAUUAGUUUCACUUAGAUUUUUUUUUAAGUAGUCUCCCUAAAAAUGAUCAUGGUGGAUGUAAUCCAGUAUCUAGUAAUCAGGUUGUAAAAUGAAAAAUUGAGCUUAUUAGAGAGUGGGAAUUUGGUACAAAAAUACAAAAAGACUAUUGUCCUUUUUAGGUUUUCUGAGAGUCCUCCAGGUCUUCUUCUAUGCAGAAAAAAUACGAAUUCAUGCUAUUUAAUGAUGAACACUGAGAAGAUAGGUCUAGUUCUUCCAGACAUUGCACCUUAUUGUGGUCAUGGUUUUGGGUUUCAUCACAAUUCCAGCACAAACUCUGUGAUAGGAUAUACAUUUCAGGCACAUUAAUGUCACGAUUUACAAAAAAUCUCAAACAUUUUCUCAAAGAAACACCUUUGUCAACCUAACUAUUUUUGUGUAGCUCCAAAAUGAGCAUUCCGUUCAGACCUUGGUAAGCAGAAAAAUACUUACUUACCCCUAGUCUUUACCUGCAGGCCAAUCAUCUUUUCUUUAUUAGGAGUAACUUGUUUUGGGUUUAGAGGAAGCAAAGAUAAGAUCUCUUCCUCCUCCAUCCUGUCAGCAGAGCCAGGCCUCUGUCCAACACCAUAUGAGCUUUCCAUCAACCUCAGCCCAGAACUUUGCCUGAUCCUACAAAUAGGGAGUAGGGUGUAGUACCAUGAAGAGCCCCCAGCAGCAUUUUGGAUACACCACAACCACCAAGCUUUCAGAGGGGAAGUGGAGCACAAGCUCCCGCUCUGGACCAGUCAGAAGGGGCAUUUCACAGCAGGAGGGGCUCUUACAGCCAGAUGGGCCUUUUGCUGUAGCUGCUUAAGCUGCCUUGCAGACUGAGGGGUUUGCACUGUGGGGGCCUCAUCUGAAAGUUGCAUGCUUGAAGGAGAUGAGUUGCUGCUGUCAUUUUGCAGCCCUUAUGGAUGCAAGGUGCUAUAAGCCACUUGGAGCUGUGGGACCUGGGAAGCAGUGCUGGACUGGCUACAUACCAGAGCAUCACUACACUCACCGGGGGGGAGGAAUUUCAUGUUCAUCUGCUAAUAACCUAUUGUGAGUUUGUCUACCUGUUCUUGAUUAACUUUUUUUAAGUGAACCCUACAUAAAUGUUUCACUGUGAUGAUUGUCACUGUGACUUAUAAGACUGCAUUGGGUUUGUUUUUUCAGCAUUUUAGGUUCAACUAUAUCUACACAGCAAAACCAGAAAACCCCACCCUCCUCAGUCGUUGCUUUUUUGAAAAUCUUUCCAGAUCUUGCUUAAAAGACCCAAGUAAAGCAGUCCAUCGUGGGAACUGAAUACAAACUGAGAGCGCUUGUACUCCUGAAACUAAACUGCAAAGUAAGCUGAAGCACAAAGUGUCUACUUUUUAAAGAUGAUACAGUUGUAUCCUUACACUGAGACAAUAAAAUAUGUAUAUCAAAAACAUUACAAAACAUCACACUGAAAUACAGUGAUUCAAUUUAAGACCCAGAUUAGCAGAAAAAGAAAGCAGAUGUAAAACUGCAUUCUUGUGGAUCUUGCUUGAAGGGCAAAUCAAUACCCUUAUCUCUGAAAGUAGCCAAUGUAAGUUUCUCUGAAGGUUUAAUAUUCUGCUGCUUCUAAUUUCCUACCUCUCUAAUUUCUGUCUUCACCAAGCUAGUGAUCAGCCUGUGAAGAAGGACUGAUGCUUCUAAAGUCUCUCCCCAGAUGGUAAUGUAGCAGUGGAAGCAGAUGCAAAGACAUUACAGAAUGUAGCAUCCAUCCAUUUAUUGACUCAUCUUUAUUCCUUUGCUGCAACAUAUGAACAACUAUGCAAGCAACACUGCCCUAACAAAUAGAACAAAUAAUCAAUAGGCAGGAGGAAAGCUGAAGUUCACAUGCAACCGUAGUUAUUUUUUUCCUCUUUCCACAAAAAACAUUUUUUAAACAUGGACCAAGCUCACCAUUCACAUGCAGCAUGAACCCCACACUCUUCCCCUUCCCCCAUGUGCCUAUAAAGCAUGAAUGUGGUGGGAAAAUACUGUGACUGCUUCUUACUGAUUACAGUACAUUUUUGUGAUAAAAUGGUUUGGGGGACUAUCAGGAUGAACUCCAGCUGACUGCUUUCAGUCCAGCAAUAUUCCAUAUAGUCAGGAACUAACCCUUGAAGCAUUUCCUUCUUUCCUUGAGCUCUGCAGGGAGAAACGCUGCCUAGUUAUCUGUACAUCUUGAGUGCUUCUCUGUAUUUCUUUAAAGCAAGAAAAAGAGGCAUUCAAUAGGAAUUUGCCUUUAUUAUAUAGCUUCUACUUCUGUUUCUGCCAUUGCCACGUAUCAGCUCUGUUUUUGUUCCCCAGCCAAUUCUUUUCAUAUUUUCCAGACCAUUCAAGUGCCUGUGCCUAGUGUCACAACAAAGUUUAAUGAGUAAGUCAGUAUUACUUCUUAAGCAAGCAAUUAGUUUUGAUUCAUUCUUUUUUCAGAUCUGUAAGGGAAAUGGUGAACUAAAGAAACUAGUGGAAAGAAGUUCUUGCUGCCACUACCAUGUGCCGGCUCUGAGCCACAGUCUAUCUGACAUUUGCAGGAGUUGUGAGUGUGAAGUCAAGGCAGAUGAUGGUUUCUCUGUGAUUAACAGUGUUGGUCCACUUUCACUCUUCUCCUGGAAAGAAGUCAGACAGUUCUUUCAGAAGAGCUAAACUCAAAAAUCUUCCAAGUCAGCCUGCUUUGGGGAACCAGGGUAACCUCAACCAGAAUUAGCUCAUCCAACCUUUCACCCUACUCUCAAACCUGUAAAAAGUCCACAGAUAGGGGUAUGUUUGAGAGUCAGGCACCAAUGACUGCUGCUAUCUGAAGUAGCUCAGACCAGGAUUAGGUUUUUUGGAUGGAGAUUUGGACAUGAAAGUCCAUUUAUUUCAAGGUUAUUUUCUUUUCCACUUCUGUUGGUCUGGAAUAUGAAAUUUCUGCACACCAAUGUCUGUCCUACUAUUGCCAGCCUUUAGGAGAAAACAUCUUUGUCCCUCUCACAAGGAAAACACAGCAGAAGAUGAUAGCUUCCACCAAGUUCUGACGGCACAGCAUUUUUUUUUCCUUUUCAGCUGUGGUUUUCCUUUGAUAUCUCGGCCUACAAGUAUUACUUUGUUUUUCCUUGUGUCAUUGACAACUUGUUAUGCCUUGCAUUUUUGUAUUGGAGCAUGUGACCUAACAGCCAGAACCUCUGACAUGACCUUACGACAUAUGAUUUCCAAGUAGUCAUGGAGGGCAGAGGGAAGGAGUGUAUGCUAUAACCUGUUGGCUACUUCAGCAUCUGAUAGGUGCUAUUUGGUCUUCCCUUCUCUAGGGAAGGGAAAGUAAAACCUAGUAAAACUAGUCCUCAGUGUUAACUUUAGUCCUCAGUGUGUCUCAUUUAGAUGUCAAAAGCAGAUAGCUUUUGUCACAUUUCUACAUGCAUACAGAAAAUAAUCCUUCUGUUUUGGUUUUACACCUGGAAUCUGAUACUGGAUGUGAAGUGAUUUUAUCACUGCCCUACUUCCUCUGUAGCAUUCAUUGCCAUCUCUGUGCUUCUAAUGACUAAGAUGUCAGAAGAAAUGUUGAUUCCAAUAACACUGCAUCUUCUCACACAGAACUCGUACUAGAGCUCCUUAUCUCUGUGACUGCUUGCAUUUGAACUUCCUAUUUUUCUCUCUGAAUGAUGCUAAUAGAAAGUCUAAUAUUUAUGCUGAUAUCAAAGUUUUGUUUUUGCUUAUGUUGUAUCUCUUCAGGCAGAGAUAAUAUUAAGGCCAUUAUUGUAAAAUGAAUCAGCAUUUUCAAAAACUGCAAUCUUCAGUCCCCAAAUGCUUAACCUUAUGAGAACAGUUUUGUAUUAAUAGUAAAGGACUCCCAAGGCUUGGGCCUGGACUAGCUGGAAUUGUAGUACUUGAGAUGCUGAUGUAAGUUUGCAAUUUUAUUUCACUGUAACAAAGUUUCCAGUAUCACAUGUACAUUUGAAUGGGUGCAGAAUAGUUGAAAGAAGACAGAUUUAAACACACUUAAUUAGACACAAAUUAAACUCUCUUUGGUAUCUAUUCCCUCUAGUAUUUUGUUUCAGAGAAGCUGUGAGCUUUUCUGGCUUAGCUGGCUAAGGAACCAUUCUCUCUACUACAGGCAAUUCCUAGACUCAGGCAGCUGGAGUCCCAGUCCUCCAGUGCUCAUAUUUUUUAGUCCCAUCAUGGAGAUUGACCUGAAGAUGAGAAAUAUGCCCAGGUUCCAAACUUUAUCUUCUUUUGGCACCAAUUUCUAUUUGCACCACAAGUCCCUGACUUCACUAUCACUGAAAGACCUUUGUCACACAGAACCAUAAUCACAGCUCCAAGUAGCAUUACACAUUUUGAACUUGUACAAAGCACAGUAUCUUACCAUACCUUCCACCUUCUCUCUGGAAACAUCUCCUGAUGUUGCCUGCUUUGGUUGUAAGGACAGGAGCCAUUGCAGGUAUUCCUCUGGACUGACUGUAACAGAGUAAAAAGAACAGUGCAGCAACUUUCUAGGAAAGGCUUUUUAAAAAAAGAAGACAAAGCCUAUUGACUGGAAAUGAUCUAAAUGUGAUUAUAGCCACUGCCAGGUCUCUUGGCAGUGUAAGCUGCCAGCUUUCCUUUCCUGUUUUUUUUCCCUCUGAUAACAUAUGUAAACAAUCAGUAGUACACAUCAGUAGGUUUUUCUUAGUCUUACGCAGGACCUGCACACACACAAUACGGGAUGGUGAAAUCUCCAUCAGACAUAGGACUUGUUCUGUCAUAGGGCAAAUUUGCAUUUACAGGACAUAAAACAGCAUGAUGGUAAUGGAACUAUUUGCAAUUCGGGGAAACAGAUGCUGAGGACAGGGUCAGAUGACUGGGAGCUUCUGCCCAAGGCACAGCAUGACACGAAAAUUGCAUGGUCCUGGCUUCUCACACCCAUCCCAUGGUUCAUUCCCAUUUGCCCCUCGUAGGCUGACAGAGGCAAAGAGAUCAUUACUGCAAAAGCCAAGGUUUUGGAGGGUUUAAUACAGUCUUCAUAUUUUUCUCAUCCUGGUGCAUGGGGCCAACAUGAUAAAGUUGUCAGGGAGCCCUGAAGCUACUGAACACUGUUGAACUUCACGAUGCACAUCAGCAUUGCUCACAGGUAUUGUUUCACAUUGUACAUGCAGGCACCAGUAGGGACAUCAGUAUCUCUUCAGAGGGAGUUAUUUUUAAAUGAAAAGUGAGAUUGUGAUAUAGUCAAAUGAAUCUCGGGGGGGGUGGGGGAGGGGUUGGAUCUUAAACAAUUUUUAAAAAUUAUAUGUAUACUUCCAGGUAAGCCUUUCCCACUUUCUCAUCUUAUGUUCUUCCAUCAGUUCUACACACAUUUUUCAUUUGGUUGAAACCCUUUAAAUGUCUUUAUUCUCACCAAACUACCUAUUUGGAGCAUGGACAGAACUUGAUAUAAAAAGACAGAAGAGACUAGAAAUCACUGGUGAAAACCAAAAAUGAAAAAAAAAGUUUAAAAUAUGGGCAAAAGUACACCCCAAAUCUUUUCCUUCUGAAAUGAAAUCUCAGGGACAGGGGGAUGAUGAAACUUGAGCUGGGUAACUAAGCUUUCUGCUUUAUAGACUCUGACCUAGGAUGCUCUAGGGCAGUUCUAAAACUUAUCAGGUUUGAUCACUGAAAGACUUCACAGGCACUGGAGUGACCAAAGUAUAUGUUGUGUUGCCUUUUUUGUUUUCUUCAAGAAUGUAAACAACACAGAAUUAUGCUGUCAAAGUAUCCUUGGAGACACUGACCUUGUGAAUACUCUUGAUUUUAAAGGAAAUGCAAAUGAUGAUGUUAAAUGAACCCCUGGCUCAAACAGCUGAUCCUUUGUUAUCCUGAGCUUUUUUUAAGCAGAAGUGAACAAUACCAACAAGUAUAUAUUACACAAUAAGUGAACAUACCAACACAGUAGAAAGCUCAUUAAUAUUCCAGAUAAUUCUCACAGAACUAUUAAGCAGGAAAAUAUGUUUCAUUAUUAAAUGUAAUUUGCCAGAAUAUUUGAAACUGAUGUUGGACGGAGAGCAAGGUGAAUACAUGGUAAAAUUAUAUGCCAAAGUGAUAAGUCACGGACAAAAUGUGCUGUCCCUGUACAAAGAAAGUAGUUAUAAGUCAUCCAUUGCUUCAUCCUCACAGCACCUCUGUAUUGCAGACUGGAAAGCAGAGGUAUAAAGAAGAGGCUAGAGCAUCCAAAAGGACAUGUAAUGUGUGUUCUCACUACAGAGAGCUUUGAAAAUAUUCCACCCAUAGCUGUAGAGCACACCGACUUUGUAGUUGACUGUAAGCAGCAGGAGAUGGGGUAUCCACAAGACCAUGCUGCCCCAUAUUCAAGUCCACUUUUCUUGGUCACUGUAUCUUGUCACAAACCAGAAAGCCAAGCUAUCCACAAAUGCACCUUCACUCCUAUUUUAAAACCUGUCAGGCAGCCAGAUUUCUGCUGCUUGUACUGGAUGGCCUGCUCUGCUCCAGAAGGUAAGAACAAGAAAAAGUCACUAAAAACUGGGCUGUUUUUAUUUCAUUUCUUGAGACUGACUCAUACUCUCCAAUUCCUUGUCCUUAGGGAAGAUACAAGGAAAUGAUGUAAUUCUUUUUUUGGCUUAUUUUCAUGCUUUGGACUUUUUUCUUUUCGCAUAAUUUUGUACUGGGCCUGUUUUUUAAUUAAUCUGUAUGGAUUGUGCUAAAGUAAAAGCCUGAGCUGUCUGUCUCUUUAUACUCACUUGUAAUAGUGAUGUAAUGGUUAAUGGUUGAGGGUAAGAAGUAUUGAUCUCCAUGAUAUGCCAGGUGACCCAUUAAUAAUUACUAGGGAGUUCUGCAAGCUUUCUUUAGAGAUCAAAUUUUAAAAGUAUGACCAAAUUGAAAUUUUAAAAGUCUGCUAAAAUUUAAAAAAACCAUCUAUUUGAGAGAUGCAGUUGUGGUAAUUCCUGCAGCUCUUGCCGUAAACCUGGGGUGGAAGGGAAGAUACUUUACUUUUUUUGUGUUUCAUUUAAAGAAGAAAAUCAGAAACACCUUGAAGAUGAAGCUCCCAGUGUUUUGGUGUUUUGAACUGAGACCUUAUCUCUAAACGCUCCUGUGGACAGCCUCCAGUUCAGAUUAAAAACUAGAUCUGAAGCUAUCUGUAGACCAUCAGGAAACUUUUGAUUUUGCUAAACUGAGGUGGAAAACUUACAAAAGUAUCUCCUUAUGAGGAGACAAAUACACUCAUGUUGUUCUAGGACCAGGACUAGAAAGGGAGAUAAGGUGCCCGGCGGCAGAGGAUGUCCAACAGAUGAAUAUAGGUUUGAGUUCUCUCAGACUCAGGAAGGAGCUGAGCAUGACUGUGUCUGAAAGUUUCCUAAACUAGAAUGAUAUUUCAAGGCAUGAGUGAAAAAGAAGAUUCUAGAAGCUGGUUUUAAUUAGGGUGUGUGUAUUGGGUUGACCCUGAGUUGAUGGACAGUCUUUAAGGCCAAUUACGCUUCUCACAAUUUACAUAUUUAAACCGCA
Molecule: long non-coding RNA, 12781 nt
Organism: Corvus hawaiiensis (hawaiian crow)
Lineage: Eukaryota; Metazoa; Chordata; Aves; Passeriformes; Corvidae
Exons: 6
Source: RefSeq, a predicted model, not a curated record